RNAcentral lists this ribosomal RNA (1398 nucleotides) under metagenome. RNAcentral describes it as "bacterial LSU rRNA". It matches the Rfam family "Bacterial large subunit ribosomal RNA", at positions 1537 to 2925 of the family's 2925-position model. The record is from RNAcentral.
AAAAUCCGCGCGGCUUAGCUGAGGCAUGAUAACGAGGGCCCUCGGGCCCGAAGCAACUGAUACCCUGCUUCCAGGAAAAGCCUCUAAGCUUCAGUCAUAGAGUGACCGUACCGCAAACCGACACAGGUGGGCUGGUAGAGAAUACCAAGGCGCUUGAGAGAACUCAGGAGAAGGAACUCGGCAAAUUGAUACCGUAACUUCGGGAGAAGGUAUGCCCCGUUAGCUUGUAGGAGUACAUCCGAAGGGCGAAGGGGCCGCAGAGAAUCGGUGGCUGCGACUGUUUAUUAAAAACACAGCACUGUGCAAACACGAAAGUGGACGUAUACGGUGUGACGCCUGCCCGGUGCCGGAAGGUUAAGUGAUGGGGUGCAAGCUCUUGAUCGAAGCCCCGGUAAACGGCGGCCGUAACUAUAACGGUCCUAAGGUAGCGAAAUUCCUUGUCGGGUAAGUUCCGACCUGCACGAAUGGCGUAACGAUGGCCACACUGUCUCCUCCUGAGACUCAGCGAAGUUGAAAUGUUUGUGAAGAUGCAAUCUACCCGCGGCUAGACGGAAAGACCCCAUGAACCUUUACUGUAGCUUUGCAUUGGACUUUGACGGGAUUUGUGUAGGAUAGGUGGGAGGCUAUGAAACCAGGACGCUAGUUCGGGUGGAGCCAACCUUGAAAUACCACCCUGGUGUCGUCGAGGUUCUAACCCAGGUCUGUGAAUCCAGAUCGGGGACCGUGCAUGGUGGGCAGUUUGACUGGGGCGGUCUCCUCCUAAAGCGUAACGGAGGAGUACGAAGGUCACCUAGGUACGGUCGGUCAUCGUACUGAUAGUGCAAUGGCAAAAGGUGGCUUGACUGCGAGACCCACAAGUCGAGCAGGUGCGAAAGCAGGUCAUAGUGAUCCGGUGGUUCUGUAUGGAAGGGCCAUCGCUCAACGGAUAAAAGGUACUCUGGGGAUAACAGGCUGAUUCCGCCCAAGAGUUCACAUCGACGGCGGAGUUUGGCACCUCGAUGUCGGCUCAUCACAUCCUGGGGCUGUAGCCGGUCCCAAGGGUAUGGCUGUUCGCCAUUUAAAGUGGUACGUGGGCUGGGUUUAAAACGUCGUGAGACAGUUUGGUCCCUAUCUGCCGUGGGCGCUGGAAGUUUGAGAGGGCUUGCUCCUAGUACGAGAGGACCGGAGUGAACGCACCCCUGGUGUACCGGUUGUGACGCCAGUCGCAUCGCCGGGUAGCUAUGUGCGGAAGAGAUAACCGCUGAAAGCAUCUAAGCGGGAAACUCGCCUCAAGAUGAGACUUCCCCGGGGCCUCGAGCCCCCUGAAGGGUCGUUGAAGACCACAACGUUGAUAGGUCGGGUGUGGAAGCGUGGCAACACGUUAAGCUAACCGAUACUAAUUGCCCGUGUGGCUUGAUC